Molecule: ribosomal RNA, 411 nt
Filed under: uncultured prokaryote
Description: bacterial SSU rRNA
Rfam family: Bacterial small subunit ribosomal RNA
Source: RNAcentral
GUGCCAGCAGCCGCGGUAAUACGGAGGGUGCAAGCGUUAUCCGGAUUCACUGGGUUUAAAGGGUGCGUAGGCGGGCUUGUAAGUCAGUGGUGAAAGCCCGGGGCUUAACUCCGGAAUUGCCGUUGAUACUGCAAGCCUUGAGUACAGGUGAGGUGGGCGGAAUACAUCAUGUAGUGGUGAAAUACUUAGAUAUGAUGUAGAACACCGAUUGCGAAGGCAGCUCGCUAAACUGUAACUGACGCUGAGGCACGAAAGCGUGGGGAUCAAACAGGAUUAGAUACCCUGGUAGUCCACGCCCUAAACGAUGUUCACUCGACAUUAGCGAUAUACUGUUAGUGUCCAAGCAAAAGCGUUAAGUGAACCACCUGGGGAGUACGACCGCAAGGUUGAAACUCAAAUGAAUUGGCGGGG